UACAGAGGGUGCAAGCGUUAAUCGGAAUUACUGGGCGUAAAGCGUGCGCAGACGGUUGCGCAAGUCAGAUGUGAAAGCCCCGGGCUCAACCUGGGAAUUGCAUUUGAGACUGCGUAGCUAGGGUGCGGAAGAGGGAAGCGGAAUUUCCGGUGUAGCGGUGAAAUGCGUAGAUAUCGGAAGGAACACCAGUGGCGAAAGCGGCUUCCUGGUCCAGCACCGACGUUCAGGCACGAAAGCGUGGGGAGCAAACAGG
This 253-nucleotide ribosomal RNA is filed under the name uncultured bacterium. RNAcentral's name for it is "partial 16S ribosomal RNA". It matches the Rfam family "Bacterial small subunit ribosomal RNA", at positions 524 to 776 of the family's 1533-position model. The record is from RNAcentral.